RNAcentral lists this ribosomal RNA (641 nucleotides) under Nostoc sp. 'Peltigera neopolydactyla cyanobiont'. RNAcentral's name for it is "bacterial SSU rRNA". It matches the Rfam family "Bacterial small subunit ribosomal RNA", at positions 110 to 784 of the family's 1533-position model. The record is from RNAcentral. Lineage: Bacteria; Bacillati; Cyanobacteriota; Cyanophyceae; Nostocales; Nostocaceae.
UGAACGCGUGAGAAUCUGGCUUCAGGUCUGGGACAACCACUGGAAACGGUGGCUAAUACCGGAUGUGCCGAGAGGUGAAAGGUUAACUGCCUGAAGAUGAGCUCGCGUCUGAUUAGCUAGUUGGAAGUGUAAUGGACUCCCAAGGCGACGAUCAGUAGCUGGUCUGAGAGGACGAUCAGCCACACUGGGACUGAGACACGGCCCAGACUCCUACGGGAGGCAGCAGUGGGGAAUUUUCCGCAAUGGGCGAAAGCCUGACGGAGCAAUACCGCGUGAGGGAGGAAGGCUCUUGGGUCGUAAACCUCUUUUCUCAGGGAAGAACACAAUGACGGUACCUGAGGAAUAAGCAUCGGCUAACUCCGUGCCAGCAGCCGCGGUAAUACGGAGGAUGCAAGCGUUAUCCGGAAUGAUUGGGCGUAAAGCGUCCGCAGGUGGCUAUGUAAGUCUGCUGUUAAAGAGUCUAGCUCAACUAGAUAAGAGCAGUGGAAACUACAAGGCUAGAGUACGUUCGGGGCAGAGGGAAUUCCUGGUGUAGCGGUGAAAUGCGUAGAGAUCAGGAAGAACACCGGUGGCGAAGGCGCUCUGCUAGGCCGUAACUGACACUGAGGGACGAAAGCUAGGGGAGCGAAUGGGAUUAGAUA